This 1072-nucleotide long non-coding RNA is filed under the name Androctonus crassicauda. The record is from RNAcentral. Lineage: Eukaryota; Metazoa; Arthropoda; Arachnida; Scorpiones; Buthidae.
AAUCAUAGUGGAUAAAGCUAUAAUGCAAAUGCAGAGAUACAAACACUUUUCUCCUGAUUUCAUCAUUUAUCAUAUGUAUGUGUUUUAUGAACUAUUAGCAUAAUUUUUAGUUAACUAGUCAGACCAAGACCUGAACCCCUCCUGUAAAACUGAAAUUGUAGGAUGAUUAGGAUCCAGAUUCAGUUCUGAAUACAGUUGCUUUACUGUAUGAAUUAUAUGCUUAUAUAUAUAUAUAUACACAAACAUUGUGUGCGUGUUCUGCAAAGGCUCCCAAACUAUUUGACUUCUCAGGACCAAUCUUGGCCUGGAGUCUUCCUGUGGCCUUCCAGGGCCCACGGUCCUGGAGUUAAUAUCAUCCCAGAGGAUGAGGUAUUUUGGAAUGGCAAUGAAAAUGCCUUCAUUUAAAACCAUCAGAAUGAUGUUUGAAUUUAAGAUGAUGUCAUAGCGAUACUGGCAUUAUGUCACCAGUUACGUGGCAAUGUAUGACAUCAUAAAAUGCUUCUGUUGUAUGAUGUCAUGCAGAUGUAACAGUGAACAUCAUCACUAUAACAGCAUGUUGCCACUAUAGUGACAUCAUCAUGACAUUAUAAACUGACUAAAUGAAUUGAUAAAAUUGGACAUGAAAAGCCUAUGGAUUACAAAUUAUAACAAAUUGUAUGACAUCGUUGCAACAUAAUCUAGGAUGUCACAAAAUGAAGUUGUCAUGAGAUGUCAUGAUGAUUCAACAAUGAAGUCACAGCCACAACUACAUAAUGUAAUCAUGAUCAGCCAACUGAUUCCAAGUAUCAUAAUAAAUGAAUUAUGUGGAAGAAUGAUUUUGUUUGAAUUCGGAAUGUUGUCACAAGAUCCCACGACAUCAUCAUGGCAUAACAGAUGCCACAUAAUAUUGAUAAAUGAUCUCGCUAUUUUAUAUUUUAAGAAAUUCAGAAAGAACCAAUAAUUUCUAAGAGUUUUAAUUCAAUUAUUCUGAUGGUAAAUAUAACAUUUCAAUAAAUAUGAAAUUUAAAAUAACAAUUGAAAAUAAUGCAUGAAAUAAUUCAUUUAAAAAAAUUCUUCAUGGGGACAAUACAAU